CAUGGAGUUUGAUCCUGGCUCAGAUUGAACGCUGGCGGCAGGCCUAACACAUGCAAGUCGAGCGGUAGAGAAAAGCUUGCUUUUCUUGAGAGCGGCGGACGGGUGAGUAAUGCCUAGGAAUCUGCCUGGUAGUGGGGGAUAACGUUCGGAAACGGACGCUAAUACCGCAUACGUCCUACGGGAGAAAGCAGGGGGACCUUCGGGCCUUGCGCUAUCAGAUGAGCCUAGGUCGGAUUAGCUAGUUGGUGGGGUAAUGGCUCACCAAGGCUACGAUCCGUAACUGGUCUGAGAGGACGACCAGCCACACUGGAACUGAGACACGGUCCAGACUCCUACGGGGAGCAGCAGUGGGGAAUCUUAGACAAUGGGGCGCAAGCCUGAUCUAGCCCAUGCCGCGUGAUCGAUGAAGGCCUU
This 414-nucleotide ribosomal RNA is filed under the name uncultured Pseudomonas sp. RNAcentral's name for it is "bacterial SSU rRNA". It matches the Rfam family "Bacterial small subunit ribosomal RNA", at positions 1 to 418 of the family's 1533-position model. Lineage: Bacteria; Pseudomonadati; Pseudomonadota; Gammaproteobacteria; Pseudomonadales; Pseudomonadaceae. The record is from RNAcentral.